This 73-nucleotide transfer RNA is filed under the name Scheffersomyces stipitis CBS 6054. RNAcentral's name for it is "tRNA-Lys (CTT) (tRNA-Lys-CTT-1 1 to 9)". It matches the Rfam family "tRNA". From Rfam's summary of the family: Transfer RNA (tRNA) molecules are approximately 80 nucleotides in length. Their secondary structure includes four short double-helical elements and three loops (D, anti-codon, and T loops). The record is from RNAcentral. Lineage: Eukaryota; Fungi; Ascomycota; Pichiomycetes; Serinales; Debaryomycetaceae. RNAcentral also lists the same sequence under 1 other name.
GCCUGGUUAGCUCAAUCGGUAGAGCGUUUGACUCUUAAUCAAAAGGUUGCGGGUUCGACCCCCGCAUCGGGCU